This 505-nucleotide ribosomal RNA is filed under the name uncultured bacterium. RNAcentral's name for it is "bacterial SSU rRNA". It matches the Rfam family "Bacterial small subunit ribosomal RNA", at positions 791 to 1297 of the family's 1533-position model. The record is from RNAcentral.
UAGUCCACGCUGUAAACGAUGUCUACUAGCUGUUGGGUUCCUUGAGGACUUAGUGGCGCAGCUAACGCGAUAAGUAGGCCGCCUGGGGAGUACGGCCGCAAGGUUAAAGCUCAAAUGAAUUGACGGGGGCCCGCACAAGCGGUGGAGCAUGUGGUUUAAUUCGACGCAACGCGAAGAACCUUACCAGGUCUUGACAUCCUACUAAGUUUUCAGAGAUGAGAAUGUGCCUUCGGGAAAGUAGUGACAGGUGCUGCAUGGCUGUCGUCAGCUCGUGUCGUGAGAUGUUGGGUUAAGUCCCGUAACGAGCGCAACCCUUGUCUUUAGUUGCCAUCAUUUAGUUGGGCACUCUAGAGAAACUGCCGGUGACAAACCGGAGGAAGGUAAGGAUGACGUCAAGUCAGCAUGCCCCUUACGCUCUGGGCUACACACGUGCUACAAUGGUCGUGACAAAGAGUUGCUAGUCUGCGAAGGCAAGCCAAUCUCAUAAACGCGGCCUUAGUUCGGA